Molecule: ribosomal RNA, 301 nt
Filed under: uncultured bacterium
Lineage: Bacteria
Description: partial 16S ribosomal RNA
Rfam family: Bacterial small subunit ribosomal RNA
Source: RNAcentral
CAGUCGCCACGGUAAUACAGAGGGUGCGAGCGUUAAUCGGAUUUACUGGGCGUAAAGCGCACGCAGGCGGUCUGUCAAGUCAGAUGUGAAAUCCCCGGGCUUAACCUGGGAACUGCAUUUGAAACUGGCAGGCUAGAGUCUUGUAGAGGGGGGUAGAAUUCCAGGUGUAGCGGUGAAAUGCGUAGAGAUCUGGAGGAAUACCGGUGGCGAAGGCGGCCCCCUGGACAAAGACUGACGCUCAGGUGCGAAAGCGUGGGGAGCAAACAGGAUUAGAUACCCGAGUAGUCCCUGUCUCUUAUAC